UAAAGGCAUGGUCCCGACCUUUUUAUCAGCUCUUACCCAACUUACACAUGCAAGUCUCCGCAGUCCCGUGAGUAUGCCCUCAAUCCCCUGCCCGGGGACGAGGAGCGGGCAUCAGGCGCAAAAUUUAGCCCAAGACGCCCGGCCAAGCCACACCCCCAAGGGAAUUCAGCAGUGAUGGACAUUAAGCCAUAAGUGAAAACUUGACUCAGUCAGGGUUAAGAGGGCCGGUAAAACUCGUGCCAGCCACCGCGGUUAAACGGGAGGCCCUAGUUGAUAACACCACGGCGUAAAGGGUGGUUAAGGAGAGAAAAUAAUAAAGCCAAAUGGCCCUUUGGCCGUCAUACGCUUCUAGGUGUCCGAAGCCCAAUACACGAAAGUAGCU
This 382-nucleotide ribosomal RNA is filed under the name Aphyocypris kikuchii (Kikuchi's minnow). RNAcentral describes it as "12S ribosomal RNA". The record is from RNAcentral. Lineage: Eukaryota; Metazoa; Chordata; Actinopteri; Cypriniformes; Xenocyprididae.